AUCCACUACAAGAAACCAACAUGGUUUGAGGGAUCAAUUCCAGAAAGCUUAGAUAGGCUCCCCUGGGAUUAUAACACAGUGCCAAAGAGUCAUAUGAAGCUCAUGAAAUGCCAGGGUAUCCAUCAUAAGGGCAGGGUACAAAAGUGGGGAAUUUAAUAGACCAAUAGUUCUCUGGCCAUGCAAACCAAACUCCAGCCAGCAGACCAGAAAAAGUCUGGAACUAGUCCCAUGGAAGUGAAUGACAAGGCAUAAGAAGGGUACAAGGGACACAGGCAAAGGAACUGAGUUUCAAGUUAUUCCUCUGACUCCUUUGGAUGCAUAGGGCUCUGAGAAGUCCUCCAAGCCGCCAGGAGAGGACGUAGACUUCAUAGAAGGAGUCUGCAUCCCUGAAUGACUCUCAGAAGCAAAG
RNAcentral lists this long non-coding RNA (409 nucleotides) under Equus caballus (horse). Its description in RNAcentral is "lncRNA (ENSECAG00000044035.1)". The record is from RNAcentral. Lineage: Eukaryota; Metazoa; Chordata; Mammalia; Perissodactyla; Equidae.